RNAcentral lists this ribosomal RNA (81 nucleotides) under Calystegia sepium subsp. americana. Its description in RNAcentral is "partial 5.8S ribosomal RNA". It matches the Rfam family "5.8S ribosomal RNA", at positions 78 to 154 of the family's 154-position model. From Rfam's summary of the family: 5.8S ribosomal RNA (5.8S rRNA) is a component of the large subunit of the eukaryotic ribosome. Lineage: Eukaryota; Viridiplantae; Streptophyta; Magnoliopsida; Solanales; Convolvulaceae. The record is from RNAcentral.
AAUCCCGUGAACCAUCGAGUCUUUGAACGCAAGUUGCGCCCGAAGCCGUCAGGCUGAGGGCACGUCUGCCUGGGCGUCACG